Molecule: unclassified non-coding RNA, 237 nt
Filed under: Hevea brasiliensis (rubber tree)
Lineage: Eukaryota; Viridiplantae; Streptophyta; Magnoliopsida; Malpighiales; Euphorbiaceae
Source: RNAcentral
GUUAAAGAUCGGCCUUGUCGAGGAAGUUUUGAAACGGUUGGCUAGCCUUAGAUUCAAUCUUUGGAAGAUCCAGGCACCGGAGCAGGCACUGACCCAAAAGUUCCAAGAAGUGGUCUCUCAAAAACGGAUCUUGGUGUAUAGAUACCCCAGAGGGAGCCGGCGGAGCAUGCCUUGUCACCAGCAGUUGUGCCUCCCUCCAUUCCUUUGCUUGAUUGAAUUCUUCUGAGAAUCAUUCCU